This 232-nucleotide ribosomal RNA is filed under the name uncultured bacterium. Its description in RNAcentral is "partial 16S ribosomal RNA". It matches the Rfam family "Bacterial small subunit ribosomal RNA", at positions 99 to 334 of the family's 1533-position model. The record is from RNAcentral.
CGGACGGGUGAGUAAUGUCUGGGAAACUGCCCGAUGGAGGGGGAUGACUACUGGAAACGGUAGCUAAUACCGCAUAACGUCGCAAGACCAAAGAGGGGGACCUUCGGGCCUCUUGCCAUCGGAUGUGCCCAGAUGGGAUUAGCUAGUAGGUGGGGUAAAGGCUCACCUAGGCGACGAUCCCUAGCUGGUCUGAGAGGAUGACCAGCCACACUGGAACUGAGGCACGGUCCAG